RNAcentral lists this long non-coding RNA (503 nucleotides) under Mytilus galloprovincialis (Mediterranean mussel). Lineage: Eukaryota; Metazoa; Mollusca; Bivalvia; Mytilida; Mytilidae. The record is from RNAcentral.
GAUGUGAUAUUGUAAUCAAUGAGUCAAUUUUUCACAACAGACCAAGUGACACAAAAAUUAACAACUUAAGGUCACCGUACGGCCUUCACUAAUAAAAAAAUACCAAACUGCAAAAUCAGUUACAAAGCCUCGAAAUGAUAGGUAAAACAAUUCAAACAAGUUAACAAACAGCCUGACUUAUGGUUUAAUUGGUGAACGACAAAAAAUGAAUUAUACUUCAUAUGAAAAUGCAAUAUUUUGAUGGCUGAUACGAGGGUGUUAAUUUACUCUAUCACAUGGCCGAGAGAGUGACAAUUUUUUUUUAAUGUUACCUUUUCGUCUAGAAAAUCGAUAGUUUAAAGGACAAUGGGUUGAAUAUACAUCAAGUAAAAAAAAACAAGGCUAAAGUUCCGCUACGUUUUGACUCAGAUUUUAUCAUUUGACUGUCAAUCCCCCCCCCCCAAAAAAAACAAAAACAAGACCGUUCCUGUUUGUAUGGUUUAACACUAGUAAUUUUUAGGACA